AAACCAUGAGGAGUCCCAUAAUAGGACGAAACGGCCGUCCAGUGU
This is a non-coding RNA of Schistosoma rodhaini, 45 nucleotides long. The record is from Rfam. Lineage: Eukaryota; Metazoa; Platyhelminthes; Trematoda; Strigeidida; Schistosomatidae.